Molecule: ribosomal RNA, 303 nt
Filed under: uncultured bacterium
Lineage: Bacteria
Description: partial 16S ribosomal RNA
Rfam family: Bacterial small subunit ribosomal RNA
Source: RNAcentral
AGCAGUCGCCACGGUAAUACGAAGGGGGCUAGCGUUGUUCGGAAUUACUGGGCGUAAAGCGCACGUAGGCGGAUAUUUAAGUCAGGGGUGAAAUCCCGCAGCUCAACUGCGGAACUGCCUUUGAUACUGGGUAUCUUGAGUAUGGAAGAGGUUAGUGGAAUUGCGAGUGUAGAGGUGAAAUUCGUAGAUAUUCGCAGGAACACCAGUGGCGAAGGCGGCUAACUGGUCCAUAACUGACGCUGAGGUGCGAAAGCGUGGGGAGCAGACAGGAUUAGAUACCCCCGUAGUCCCUGUCUCUUAUAC